CGUUUUGGUCCCUUAACUUUA
This 21-nucleotide microRNA is filed under the name Medicago truncatula (barrel medic). Its description in RNAcentral is "mtr-miR2655b". The record is from miRBase by way of RNAcentral. Lineage: Eukaryota; Viridiplantae; Streptophyta; Magnoliopsida; Fabales; Fabaceae.